Molecule: transfer RNA, 87 nt
Filed under: Candidatus Neoehrlichia procyonis str. RAC413
Lineage: Bacteria; Pseudomonadati; Pseudomonadota; Alphaproteobacteria; Rickettsiales; Anaplasmataceae
Description: Candidatus Neoehrlichia lotoris str. RAC413 tRNA-Leu
Rfam family: tRNA
About the family: Transfer RNA (tRNA) molecules are approximately 80 nucleotides in length.
Source: RNAcentral
GCCCAUGUGGCGGAAUCGGUAGACGUUGCGGACUUAAAAUCCGUUGAUCGCAAGGUCGUGGGAGUUCAAGUCUCCCCAUGGGCACCA